CAGUAUUUGCCCAGUAUCUCAGGAUUCUAGAGGAAUGUGAUCCCAUCUGCCCAAAGCAUUCCGGGCACAAGUGCUGUUACUUCAACAUUGGAACAUAUUCUUCAAUAAAGAAGAGCAUUGUCCUUUG
This 127-nucleotide long non-coding RNA is filed under the name Chinchilla lanigera (long-tailed chinchilla). RNAcentral describes it as "lncRNA (ENSCLAG00000025049.1)". The record is from RNAcentral. Lineage: Eukaryota; Metazoa; Chordata; Mammalia; Rodentia; Chinchillidae.